GGAAGCCGAGGCAGGCGGAUCACCUGAGGUUGGGAAUUCGAGACCAGCCUGGCCAACAUGGUGAAACCCCAUCUCUACUAAAAAAUACAGAAAAAUUAGCCAGUCGUGGUGGCACAUGCCUGUAAUCUCAGCUGCUUGGGAGGCUGAGGCAGGAGAAUCACUUGAAGCCGAAAAACAGAGGUUGCAGUGAGCCCAGAUUGCCCCACUGCACUCUAACCCGGGCGACAAGAGUGAAACUCUGUCUCAAUUAAAAAAAAAAAAAAAAAGAAAUAAAAGAAAGAAAGCAAGAAAGCAUUAAUUCCCAUGCACUGGUCCUGGAGAAUCUAUAAUUCAGUCUUUUAUCACAGGUUCACAUUCCCUUAUAAAAAGAAAUACAGAAUCACAUAUACUGCAAUACUUCCAGAAAUAAAUCAUCCACUGAGUCUUAAAAGUAAAGAACUCUGUGUUCUUGCUCUGGUGUCUACAUAACCGGGAUCUUAUAAGUAA
RNAcentral lists this long non-coding RNA (486 nucleotides) under Homo sapiens (human). RNAcentral describes it as "novel transcript". Lineage: Eukaryota; Metazoa; Chordata; Mammalia; Primates; Hominidae. The record is from RNAcentral.